Molecule: ribosomal RNA, 433 nt
Filed under: uncultured bacterium
Lineage: Bacteria
Description: partial 16S ribosomal RNA
Rfam family: Bacterial small subunit ribosomal RNA
Source: RNAcentral
AACGAACGCUGGCGGCAUGCCUAACACAUGCCAGUCGAACGAGACCUUCGGGUCUAGUGGCGCACGGGUGCGUAACGCGUGGGAACCUGCCCUUAGGUUCGGAAUAACUCCUCGAAAGGGGUGCUAAUACCGGAUAAUGUCUUCGGACCAAAGAUUUAUCGCCUUUGGAUGGGCCCGCGUUGGAUUAGCUAGUUGGUAGGGUAAAAGCCUACCAAGGCGACGAUCCAUAGCUGGUCUGAGAGGAUGAUCAGCCACACUGGGACUGAGACACGGUCCAGACUCCUACGGGAGGCAGCAGUGGGGAAUAUUGGACAAUGGGCGAAAGCCUGAUCCAGCAAUGCCGCGUGAGUGAUGAAGGCCUUAGGGUUGUAAAGCUCUUUUACCCGGGAUGAUAAUGACAGUACCGGGAGAAUAAGCGCCGGCUAACUCCGUG